Long non-coding RNA from Panthera uncia (snow leopard), 459 nucleotides. RefSeq lists it as uncharacterized. Lineage: Eukaryota; Metazoa; Chordata; Mammalia; Carnivora; Felidae. The transcript is spliced from 2 exons. The record is from RefSeq and is a predicted model, not a curated record.
AGUCACAGGUCCUGCCUGAACUCAAGAGGAAGGGAUUAUAAGACUGUGAACACCCAGAGGAGGACCAUGGAGUUACCCGGAAGUCCGUCAACCGCAAAGGCAAUUAAGGUCUCUACCAGAUCAUAGUGAAUGCCUGAGGCCCGAAAAACAUCAACCGCGCUGCGUCAACCAGGAAGACAUUUCACAUCGCUAAUAACAUUUCUCCAUCUGAUUAAGGAAUAAACCGAACAAAAUGACAGCACAAAAGAGAGAUGACACUGGUAACCAAACCAAAUUCCAAAAAAUGAAAACUACCAAGAGAACGGUGAGGAUGAAGCAUAAAGUAUGAUCCAUGUCAACUGCCACCGUGCAACAUUUUGACAUUUCAGAAAACAGUGCCAAGGGUAAAAUUCAAAAUUUGCUAAAAGCCCAAUGUAAAUCUAUCCCUCGUAAGAGCCAAAAGUUAUCCUACAACAAUAA